CAGUCGCCGCGGGAAUACGUAGGUGGCAAGCGUUGUCCGGAAUUAUUGGGCGUAAAGGGCUCGCAGGCGGUUUCUUAAGUCUGAUGUGAAAGCCCCCUGCUCAACCGGGGAGGGUCAUUGGAAACUGGGAAACUUGAGUGCAGAAGAGGAGAGUGGAAUUCCACGUGUAGCGGUGAAAUCCGUAGAUAUCGAGAGGAACACCGGUGGCGAAGGCGGCCAACUGGACGAACACUGACGCUGAGACACGAAAGCGUGGGGAGCAAACAGGAUUAGAUACCCGAGUAGUCCCUGUCUCUUAUAC
This 301-nucleotide ribosomal RNA is filed under the name uncultured bacterium. Its description in RNAcentral is "partial 16S ribosomal RNA". It matches the Rfam family "Bacterial small subunit ribosomal RNA", at positions 509 to 807 of the family's 1533-position model. The record is from RNAcentral.